CAGCAGCCGCGGGAAUACGAAGGGUGCAAGCGUUAAUCGGAAUUACUGGGAGUAAAGCGCGCGUAGGUGGUUCAUUAAGUUGGAUGUGAAAGCCCUGGGCUCAACCUGGGAACUGCAUCCAAAACUGGUGAGCUAGAGUACGGUAGAGGGUAGUGGAAUUUCCUGUGUAGCGGUGAAAUGCGUAGAUAUAGGAAGGAACACCAGUGGCGAAGGCGACUACCUGGACUGAUACUGACACUGAGGUGCGAAAGCGUGGGGAGCAAACAGGAUUAGAUACCCGCGUAGUCCCUGUCUCUUAUAC
RNAcentral lists this ribosomal RNA (301 nucleotides) under uncultured bacterium. RNAcentral describes it as "partial 16S ribosomal RNA". It matches the Rfam family "Bacterial small subunit ribosomal RNA", at positions 509 to 807 of the family's 1533-position model. The record is from RNAcentral.